This 202-nucleotide long non-coding RNA is filed under the name Mytilus galloprovincialis (Mediterranean mussel). The record is from RNAcentral. Lineage: Eukaryota; Metazoa; Mollusca; Bivalvia; Mytilida; Mytilidae.
CGGAGCUCCACCAUUCUAAGGAAAACGUUUGAAUGCAUAUAUCUUUCUUAUUAUUUUAUUGGUUCAUAUUUACAUAAAGAAUGUUUUAGCUAUCAAAACUUGAAGCAGAAACGUUAUAUAGCAACAUAAUAGUUCAUCAAAGUUUCCAUCAAGCAACUUGUUAUUUUGCAAAUGUCGGAGCACCGCUUGACAGUCUCCCGAA